AAAGAAUUAGUUUAAUUUAAACCAUUAAAUUGUCAAUUUAAAAAUAUUUUAUUUAAUAAAUAUUCUUUA
This 69-nucleotide transfer RNA is filed under the name Lepisiota frauenfeldi. RNAcentral's name for it is "tRNA-Asp". Lineage: Eukaryota; Metazoa; Arthropoda; Insecta; Hymenoptera; Formicidae. The record is from RNAcentral.